UGCAGUCGAACGGCAGCACGGACUUCGGUCUGGUGGCGAGUGGCGAACGGGUGAGUAAUGUAUCGGAACGUGCCCAGUAGCGGGGGAUAACUACGCGAAAGCGUAGCUAAUACCGCAUACGCCCUACGGGGGAAAGCAGGGGAUCGCAAGACCUUGCACUAUUGGAGCGGCCGAUAUCGGAUUAGCUAGUUGGUGGGGUAACGGCUCACCAAGGCGACGAUCCGUAGCUGGUUUGAGAGGACGACCAGCCACACUGGGACUGAGACACGGCCCAGACUCCUACGGGAGGCAGCAGUGGGGAAUUUUGGACAAUGGGGGAAACCCUGAUCCAGCCAUCCCGCGUGUGCGAUGAAGGCCUUCGGGUUGUAAAGCACUUUUGGCAGGAAAGAAACGUCGUGGGUUAAUACCCCGCGAAACUGACGGUACCUGCAGAAUAAGCACCGGCUAACUACGUGCCAGCAGCCGCGGUAAUACGUAGGGUGCAAGCGUUAAUCGGAAUUACUGGGCGUAAAGCGUGCGCAGGCGGUUCGGAAAGAAAGAUGUGAAAUCCCAGAGCUUAACUUUGGAACUGCAUUUUUAACUACCGGGCUAGAGUGUGUCAG
RNAcentral lists this ribosomal RNA (602 nucleotides) under Achromobacter sp. Its description in RNAcentral is "bacterial SSU rRNA". It matches the Rfam family "Bacterial small subunit ribosomal RNA", at positions 56 to 654 of the family's 1533-position model. Lineage: Bacteria; Pseudomonadati; Pseudomonadota; Betaproteobacteria; Burkholderiales; Alcaligenaceae. The record is from RNAcentral.